RNAcentral lists this ribosomal RNA (472 nucleotides) under uncultured bacterium. Its description in RNAcentral is "partial 16S ribosomal RNA". It matches the Rfam family "Bacterial small subunit ribosomal RNA", at positions 28 to 523 of the family's 1533-position model. The record is from RNAcentral.
GACGAACGCUGGCGGCGUGCUUAACACAUGCAAGUCGAACGGUCCGGCAUGGAAGCUUGCUGAAGUGUCGGGUAGUAGCGGACGGGUGAGUAAUGCAUGAGAAGCUGCCAUUGGGAGGGGGACAACAGUUGGAAACAGCUGCUAAUACCCCAUAUGCCGGAAGGUGAAACGGAGUGAUCCGCCCGAUGAGGUGCUCAUGUCCUAUCAGCUUGUUGGUGAGGUAACGGCUCACCAAGGCGACGACGGGUAGCCGGCCUGAGAGGGUGACCGGCCACACUGGAACUGAGAUACGGUCCAGACUCCUACGGGAGGCAGCAGUGGGGAAUAUUGGGCAAUGGGGGCAACCCUGACCCAGCGACGCCGCGUGAGGGAAGACGGCCUUCGGGUUGUAAACCUCUUUUGUACGGGAAGAAGGAUGUGACGGUACCGUGCGAAUAAGUCCCGGCUAACUACGUGCCAGCAGCCGCGGUAA